This 2514-nucleotide ribosomal RNA is filed under the name Triticum aestivum (bread wheat). RNAcentral's name for it is "partial small subunit ribosomal RNA". Lineage: Eukaryota; Viridiplantae; Streptophyta; Magnoliopsida; Poales; Poaceae. The record is from RNAcentral.
GGUCAUGCCCCAAUGGUCAAUGGUUUAUUCUUAAUGAAUCUCGAACGUAAUGUUACACAUAUUCAUAGCGUGAAUACCAAAAGAUAUAAAGUUGAUAACGAUAGUCUCACAUACUUGUGGCACUGCCGCCUUGGUCACAUUGGUGUCAAGCGCAUGAAGAAGCUCCAUGCUGAUGGACUUUUAGAGUCUCUCGAUUAUGAAUCAUUUGACACAUGCGAACCAUGCCUCAUGGGCAAAAUGACCAAGACUCCGUUCUCCGGAACAAUGGAGCGAGCAACCAACUUAUUGGAAAUCAUACAUACUGAUGUGUGUGGUCCAAUGAGCGUUGAGGCUCGCGGAGGAUAUCAUUAUGUUCUCACUCUCACUGAUGACUUGAGUAGAUAUGGGUAUGUCUACUUGAUGAAACACAAGUCUGAGACCUUUGAAAAGUUCAAGGAAUUUCAGAAUGAAGUAGAGAAUCAACGUGACCGAAAGAUAAAAUUCUUACGAUCAGAUCAUGGAGGAGAAUAUUUAAGUCAUGAAUUUGGUACACACUUAAGAAAAUGUGGAAUCGUUUCACAACUCACGCCGCCUGGAACACCUCAGCGUAACAUUGUGUCUGAACGUCGUAAUCGCACUCUAUUGGAUAUGGUGCGAUCUAUGAUGUCUCUUACCGAUUUACCGCUAUCUUUUUGGGGAUACGCUCUAGAGACAGCUACAUUCACUUUAAAUAGGGCACCGUUUAAAUCCGUUGAAACGACAUCGUAUGAAAUAUGGUUUUGGAAGAAACCUAAGCUGUCAUUUCUAAAAGUUUGGGGAUGCGAUGCUUAUGUCAAGAAACUUCAACCUGAAAAGCUCGAACCCAAGUCGGAAAAAUGCGUCUUCAUAGGAUACCCUAAGGAAACCAUUGGGUAUACCUUCUACUUAAGAUCCGAGGGCAAAAUCUUUGUUGCCAAGAACGGAUCCUUUCUGGAAAAAGAGUUUCUCUCGAAAGGAGUAAAUGGGAGGAAAAUAGAACUCGAUGAAGUACUACCUCUUGAACCGGAAAGUAGUGCAGCUCAGGAAAACGUUCCUGUGAUGCCUACACCGACUGGAGAGGAUAUUAAUGAUGAUGAUCAAGGUACUUCUGAUCAAGUUGCUACUGAACUUCGUAGGUCCACAAGAACACGUUCCACACCAGAGUGGUAUGGCAACCCUGUCCUGGAAAUCAUGUUGUUAGACAACGGUGAACCUUCGAACUAUGAAGAAGCGAUGGCGGGCCCAGAUUCCAACAAAUGGCUUGAAGCCAUGCAAUCCGAGAUAGAAUCCAUGUAUGAAAACAAAGUAUGGACUUUGACUAACUUGCCCGAUGAUCGGCGAGCGAUAGAAAACAAAUGGAUCUUUAAGAAGAAGACGGACGCGGAUGGUAAUGUAACCAUCUAUAAAGCUCGACUUGUCGCUAAGGGUUAUCGGCAAGUUCAAGGGAUUGACUACGAUGAUACUUUCUCUCCAGUAGCGAAGCUUAAGUCCGUCCGAAUCAUGUUAGCAAUUGCCGCAUACUAUGAUUAUGAGAUAUGGCAGAUGGACGUCAAAAUGGCAUUCCUUAACGGGCAUCUUAAGGAAGAACUGUAUAUGAUGCAGACGGAGGGUUUUGUCGAUCCUAAGAAUUCUAACAAAGUAUGCAAGCUCCAGCGAUCCAUUUAUGGGCUGGUGCAAGCAUCUCGGAGUUGGAACAUUCGCUUUGAUGAGAUGAUCAAAGCGUUUGGGUUUAUGCAGACUUAUGGAGAAGGUUGUGUUUACAAGAAAGUGAGUGGGAGCUCUGUAGCAUUUCUCAUAUUAUAUGUAGAUGACAUACUUUUGACGGGAAAUGAUAUAGAAUUCUUGAACAGCAUUAAGGCCUACUUGAAUAAGUGUUUUUCAAUGAAGGACCUUGGAGAAGCUGCUUACAUAUUAGGCAUCAAGAUCUAUAGGGAUAGAUCAAGACGCCUCAUAGGUCUUUCACAAAGCACAUACCUUGAUAAGAUUUUGAAGAAGUUAAAAAUGGAUCAGUCCAAGAAAGGGUUCUUGCCUGUACUGCAAGGUGUGAGAUUGAGCUCGGCUCAAUGCCCGACCACGGCAAAAGAUAAAGAAGAGAUGAGUGUCAUCCCCUAUGCCUCAGCCAUAGGAUCUAUUAUGUAUGCCAUGCUGUGUACCAGACCUGAUGUAAACCUUGCCGUAAGUUUGGUAGGUAGGUACCAAACUAAUCCCGGCAAGGAACACUGGACAGCGGUCAAGAAUAUCCUGAAGUACCUGAAAAAGACUAAGGACAUGUUUCUCGUUUAUGGAGGUGACGAAGAGCUCGUCGUAAAGGGUUACGUCGAUGCUAGCUUUAACACAGAUCUGGAUGACUCUAAGUCACAAACCGGAUACGUGUAUAUGUUGAAUGGUGGAGCAGUAAGCUGGUGCAGUUGCAAACAGAGCGUCGUGGCGGGAUCUACAUGUGAAGCGGAGUACAUGGCAGCCUCGGAGGCAGCGCAUGAAGCAAUUUGGGUGAAGGAGUUCAUCACCGACCUAGGA